RNAcentral lists this ribosomal RNA (485 nucleotides) under uncultured bacterium. RNAcentral describes it as "bacterial SSU rRNA". It matches the Rfam family "Bacterial small subunit ribosomal RNA", at positions 30 to 511 of the family's 1533-position model. The record is from RNAcentral.
AUUGAACGCUGGCGGCAUGCCUUACACAUGCAAGUCGAACGGCAGCACGGGAGCAAUCCUGGUGGCGAGUGGCGAACGGGUGAGUAAUAUAUCGGAACGUGCCCAGUCGUGGGGGAUAACGUAGCGAAAGUUACGCUAAUACCGCAUACGAUCUAAGGAUGAAAGCGGGGGAUCGCAAGACCUCGCGCGAUUGGAGCGGCCGAUAUCAGAUUAGGUAGUUGGUGAGGUAAAGGCUCACCAAGCCAACGAUCUGUAGCUGGUCUGAGAGGACGACCAGCCACACUGGAACUGAGACACGGUCCAGACUCCUACGGGAGGCAGCAGUGGGGAAUUUUGGACAAUGGACGCAAGUCUGAUCCAGCCAUUCCGCGUGCAGGAUGAAGGCCCUCGGGUUGUAAACUGCUUUGUUACGGAACGAAAGGUUUCUAUUAAUACUAGGAGCUCAUGACGGUACCGUAAGAAUAAGCACGCUAACUACGUGCCAG